AAGAGAGGGUUUACAAUUUUGUCCGUUCAAAAAUUGUAACAGUUUUAUUUUUGUGAAGAUAUUCUUUUCAAGAUCGUGGAUGUAGAUUUAUUUGAGGGAUCAAACCACGUAAAAUUUUUGUAUUAUUAUUUUUUUUAUUCUCUCUAUUAUUUGUAUGAGUGUUUUCACUGCUGGUCUCAACAAAUGGUAUUAGAAAGAAGUUUCAACCUAAGGGAGGA
Molecule: long non-coding RNA, 218 nt
Filed under: Elaeis guineensis (African oil palm)
Lineage: Eukaryota; Viridiplantae; Streptophyta; Magnoliopsida; Arecales; Arecaceae
Description: long non-coding RNA (EGUI_LNC073597)
Source: RNAcentral